AGAAUAUAGAUCAUAUAUUUAUAUGAGGUUAAAACAUGCAUAUGAAUAUGCCAUGCACUAGGCAAUGGCCAAGGUUAGGGCUUUUAUUCAUCACAUGUGCCUAUCUAUGACCUCCGACUCUUUCUGAUUUAUUUCGUUUCUCUAAUUUUCAAGCUUUCUAUCUGUUUUGUUAACUUGAUGCAUUGAUUCAAGCAAGCAAGCAAUACAUACAUACAUUCAUAUACAUAUAUGGUGAUGGAUGAAGGAAGCAUUUUACUUAAAGCCUAAGAUGGUACAAAACUUCUACAAUGAUGACAUUAUCUAGAAGACGAGAUUCUUUUCUUACAAUCUUUUUGAGUUCAUACAAUUGAGGUUAAAACAAUUAAUAAUCCACGUGAGGAAGAGGCAUGUGCUCUCAAACGGUUUCACAGAGAUUGGAUGACAAGAGGAGAAACUUCACAAUAUAAGGAACAUGAGAAAGACAAUAAUGAUCAUCUAGAAAAAAUAGAUCAAUCAUGUUUAGGAAAGGUGAGAAUAUUCUCUAGCAGUUCUCCUUUUUUUUAGAAACACUCUAACAGUUCUCUCAAAAGCCUUGUACUGUCUUUGCUUUAUCUUUUGGGGAUUAAGCUUUUGUUUUUCACUAAGA
Molecule: long non-coding RNA, 625 nt
Organism: Raphanus sativus (radish)
Lineage: Eukaryota; Viridiplantae; Streptophyta; Magnoliopsida; Brassicales; Brassicaceae
Exons: 2
Source: RefSeq, a predicted model, not a curated record